Long non-coding RNA from Contarinia nasturtii (swede midge), 428 nucleotides. RefSeq lists it as uncharacterized. The record is from RefSeq and is a predicted model, not a curated record. Lineage: Eukaryota; Metazoa; Arthropoda; Insecta; Diptera; Cecidomyiidae. The transcript has 5 exons.
GCAGGAGGCGAAUGAUAGCCAACAUGAUUGGUAUAAAAAAAUAUACAACACAAUUCAUAAAGUUAGCGACGGAGAUGGCUUUGUAACUGUUCGCUACAAAACCCGUCGAGGAAACUACCCGUACAAAUCAUCAAACGGUUAUGCUUCAGAACCUGAACAAAGUCACAACUUAGAGCAUAGAAAAUGUAAAACUUUGGAUCGAAAAAUCAACCCAUCAUGCAGAAAUGUACUGAAAUCAACAACAUUCGCAUGUGAGAAGCCUGGAAAAAUUGAAGAUUUUACUCCUGGUGAUAUAUCAUCAACAGAUAAAAAAAGAAAAGGGGCAAUUUUCGGAUUCCAUGUCUAAAGGACUGAAAUAGGAAAAUUGACUAGAAACGGUGCACUGAGUGGUAUUCAGAAAGAGUGAUGAUCAGUGAGUACAGCGGGGG